CCCUUAGAUGUCCUGGGCCGCACGCGCGCUACACUGAUGCAUUCAACGAGUUUCUUCCUGGUCCGAGAGGAAUGGGUAACCUUUUGAAAGUGCAUCGUGAUAGGGAUAGACUAUUGCAAUUAUUGGUCUUCAACGAGGAAUUCCUGGUAGACGUAGUUCAUCAGACUGCAUCGAUUACGUCCCUGCCCUUUGUACACACCGCCCGUCGCUCCUACCGAUUGAAUGCUCAGGUGAGCCAUUCGGACUUUCAUCAUGCUGGUUUCCAGUUUUGAUGAAGGAAAGUCUUGCGAACCUUAUCAUUUAGAGGAAGGAGAAGUCGUAACA
This 324-nucleotide ribosomal RNA is filed under the name uncultured eukaryote. RNAcentral describes it as "partial 18S ribosomal RNA". It matches the Rfam family "Eukaryotic small subunit ribosomal RNA", at positions 1470 to 1796 of the family's 1831-position model. The record is from RNAcentral.